This 394-nucleotide ribosomal RNA is filed under the name uncultured bacterium. RNAcentral's name for it is "bacterial SSU rRNA". It matches the Rfam family "Bacterial small subunit ribosomal RNA", at positions 971 to 1422 of the family's 1533-position model. The record is from RNAcentral.
UUACCAGUUUGACAUAAAAGAGAUCCGCAAGGGACAGGUGGUGCAUGGCUGUCGUCAGCUCGUGUCGUGAGAUGUUGGGUUAAGUCCCGCAACGAGCGCAACCCUAUCAAUGUUGCCAGCAUAUGGGACUCAUUGAGACUGCCGGGGUUAAUCGGAGGAAGGUGGGGAUGACGUCAAGUCCUCAUGCCCCUUAUGCUGGGCUGCAAACACGCUACAAUGGGAUACAAGGGGCUUCGCGAGAUUAGCAAUCCCGAAAUCGUCUCAGUUCGAAUUGAAGUCUGCAACUCGACUUCAUGAAGCUGGAGUUGCUAGUAAUCCCGAUCAGCACGCGGGGUGAAUACGUUCCCGGGCCUUGUACACACCGCCCGUCACACCACGAAAGUCGGAAACCAAA